RNAcentral lists this ribosomal RNA (284 nucleotides) under Phocaeicola dorei DSM 17855. RNAcentral describes it as "partial 16S ribosomal RNA". It matches the Rfam family "Bacterial small subunit ribosomal RNA", at positions 493 to 776 of the family's 1533-position model. Lineage: Bacteria; Pseudomonadati; Bacteroidota; Bacteroidia; Bacteroidales; Bacteroidaceae. The record is from RNAcentral.
UCUUUUCAUUGUGUGCCAGCAGCCGCGGUAAUACGGAGGAUCCGAGCGUUAUCCGGAUUUAUUGGGUUUAAAGGGAGCGUAGAUGGAUGUUUAAGUCAGUUGUGAAAGUUUGCGGCUCAACCGUAAAAUUGCAGUUGAUACUGGAUGUCUUGAGUGCAGUUGAGGCAGGCGGAAUUCGUGGUGUAGCGGUGAAAUGCUUAGAUAUCACGAAGAACUCCGAUUGCGAAGGCAGCCUGCUAAGCUGCAACUGACAUUGAGGCUCGAAAGUGUGGGUAUCAAACAGG